Long non-coding RNA from Neoarius graeffei (lesser salmon catfish), 543 nucleotides. RefSeq lists it as uncharacterized. The record is from RefSeq and is a predicted model, not a curated record. NCBI's taxonomy places the organism in Eukaryota, Metazoa, Chordata, Actinopteri, Siluriformes, Ariidae. The transcript is spliced from 3 exons.
AACUAAAUGCAGUGCCACUAUUGUAAAUUUUCACAUCUGCAGCAAGACAUCCUGCUUAAGCACUACAGGCUUCAUCACUGGCAAGCAGAUUUUGAAGUCUUUGUUGGAGCGACCUGAUAUUCUUGAGAAAACGUUUCCCAUAAAGGAGGGUACACCAGGAUUCUACACCUCACCUUUUGAUGGAAACAAUGUUACUUCGAGUCAUUCUCUCACCUAACAAUAUCAGGAAGCUAUCAAUACCCACACCAUCGUCAGUUGAGGAACUCUCUGCAGUUCUCUGUGAAAAACUGCAGAUAAUGGGAAGUUUUGUUAUCCAGUAUGAAGAUCCUGACUUCAACAACGAACUUUGUACUUUACAUGACAUCACAGAGCUUCCAAAAGACAAGGCUACUUUGAGGAUCCACUGGGAAGUAGCUUUAAGCCCAGUGGUGGAUGAUACUCACCUUUCAGAUUUCACUGUGGAUACAGCAAGCAUGACAUCCACUCAGUCAUCAGCUUCAUCACCCCAUUCAGUUUCUCCUCUUUUUCCAUCUAGAUUACAGC